Molecule: ribosomal RNA, 460 nt
Filed under: uncultured bacterium
Lineage: Bacteria
Description: partial 16S ribosomal RNA
Rfam family: Bacterial small subunit ribosomal RNA
Source: RNAcentral
CCUACGGGCGGCAGCAGUGAGGAAUAUUGGUCAAUGGGCGCGAGCCUGAACCAGCCAAGUAGCGUGAAGGAUGACUGCCCUACGGGUUGUAAACUUCUUUUAUAAAGGAAUAAAGUGAGGCACGUGUGCCUUUUUGUAUGUACUUUAUGAAUAAGGAUCGGCUAACUCCGUGCCAGCAGCCGCGGUAAUACGGAGGAUCCGAGCGUUAUCCGGAUUUAUUGGGUUUAAAGGUAGCGUAGAUGGGUAGUUAAGUCAGUUGUGAAAGGUUGCGGCUCAACCAUAAAAUUGCAAUUGAUACUGGUAGUCUUGAGUAUAGUUGAGGUAGGCGGAAUUCGUGGUGUAGCGGUGAAAUGCAUAGAUAUCACGAAGAACUCCGAUUGCGAAGGCAGCUUACUAAACUGCAACUGACAUUGAUGCUCGAAAGCGUGGGUAUCAAACAGGAUUAGAUACCCCUGUAGUC